Molecule: long non-coding RNA, 572 nt
Filed under: Solanum tuberosum (potato)
Lineage: Eukaryota; Viridiplantae; Streptophyta; Magnoliopsida; Solanales; Solanaceae
Description: long non-coding RNA (STUB_LNC000657)
Source: RNAcentral
CGGGGCAUUGUUUUGGCUCGCCGGAGCACCUGCAAAACAAAAGAAAAAUCGUAAAGGAAAAGGGAAGGGGACUGGUUCGGGGUUUGAGGUCUGGUUUGCUGGGAUUUUGGUUGGCUGUCCGGGUGUUUUUGUUCGCUGGAAAAAAUGGAAAAUGAAGGCGAUUAUUCGCCGGAUUUCGCUGCUGGUCGAAGAAGAGGGCUUAGGAUGGUGGUUUCGCCGGAAGUGGAGUAUUGUUGGCUGUUUUCAAGUGGGUUUUAGGUGGCUGUUUGGUCGGAGCAAAUCGAACAGGGGUGGAUCUGGUUUGGGCUUCUGAUUACUGGUCGGAAAAAUGGAGUUUACACCAUUUCAGGUGAUCAUUUGGAGAAUGGAAGUGGUCGUUUGGUUUUUCUGAUGGUUGUUUACUAGUUGGAGCUGGUUUGUUGGGGUGGAGGAGACCGAAAAGGGAGAAAAAAUUGGGGGUUUUUGGGUUGCCGGAGCUUGGCCGGAAUUCGGGGUGGUGGUGACCGAAAACCUUUUUGUGAAUAAAAAUCUGAAAAGUUUAUAACCCUAUUCUAAAAAAAAUUCACCACCAC